This is a long non-coding RNA of Astatotilapia calliptera (eastern happy), 2049 nucleotides long. Lineage: Eukaryota; Metazoa; Chordata; Actinopteri; Cichliformes; Cichlidae. The record is from Ensembl.
GAGGACUUCUGCUGGGUAGACCUGGUAAUGCAAGAGGAGAUGAAAUAAACACAAAGCAUCACUGGUGUAUCCUUUUUUUAAAAUAAUAAUAAUAAUAAUAAUUAUUAUUAUUAUUAUUAUUAUUAUUAUUAUUAUUAUUAUUCACUGCGUUUUACAUCUGCACAAAAAAGCUGAGCUUUCUGUGAUGUAAUAAAUAGUUUCCCCAACUUCUGUAUGACCUUUCUUUCAAUUCCGUUUUUGUGAUGACAGAAAAAUAGUGCUAAUAUUCUGUCUCUCUGGACCCUGUACGAACUAUUUAAUUGUGGUAAAUGGGUGGGAUAACUGAUUGAUUUUUUUUUUUUUUUUUUUUUUUUUUGCUACUUAAAGACAAAGCCACCUAGACUAAGAUGAGUCUAUUUUACUAUUUUUAAUAAUUUAGGUUCCACGGGUAAGAGCAGUGUGAACAGGGACAUGGAUAUUUAAUAAAGUAUCAUUUUAAUUCACCCUCACUAUAAUCAGAUAAUACAUAGGUAUCUCUGAAUAAGACAUAAAAAAUGUGCGUGCUUUCACCAGCGCUUGGAGGCAACGAACAAAAACAAAAGAUCCAGGAAACCUUGGUGUCGCAGCAGUAGGCUAUUAUUACUGCGACAAUGAGACGCCUAGGCUACGUGGGGCUGUGUGAGGACACAGUGUGUGAUAAGCUGGAUUCGGGAAGCUGCAAGAACAAAACUGACCACAGCGAUGAACGCAAAUCGGAGUUACUGGUGACAGAAGAACCAACACAAAGCUCAGAGAGCAAUGGUGACACAAGAUCACAGGUGAAAUUGGAUGAUGACUUGGAUGAUCUUCAGUGGAUCAAAAGUAGCCCUGGCAUGGUUCACCUCUACAUCGAAGAUCAGACAAAGGAAGGACAGAGUCUGAUGGUUGUCUAUCGACAAAGGAACUAUGCCUUCAGCAAAGAAGGAAACAGACAAAGACAUGUCUAGAAAAAUAUAUGUUCAUUUCAACAUACAGAAAAAUGAAGUCUGCAGUCUGUGCUUAUAGUUUCACAUCUUUUUUUGCGUGUAUGUGUGUGUGUGGUUUAUUUCCCAGAUGGUAUUCCAGUCUCGGGUUUGAAACCACAGAAGCUCGCACACCCUCUUUGUAUCUUCAUGGUGUAGCUUUUGACUGUUUAAAACACGAUGUGUUUAAACUUCUGCUGCUGAUGCCGUAUUGUCGCGGGACUUCGUACUCGCAAAAAGUCAUGAACUACAACAUCGUAAACCGAACAAAAGGUGUUAUGCAUGAGCAGCUGUCAUCGGGGGGUGUCAUCAACCUGACCUCUUUUGGAUUAGUUAAUGAUUAUUUGUUUAUUAUGUAGUCGAGUUGUUGCGUGACACCUCGCGUGUAGCCAUUUUUUUUUAAAUGACAGAAAAAGCUGUAUGCAAAAGACCUCGCUAACGUGUAACUCAAAGCUGCUUUGUUUCAGUGAAGCCAAUCAUGUUCUUCUACUAUGUUUUGGACAGCAUCACUACAUAAAGUUAUUUUGUGCUUUUUUUAUUAUAUUAUACUAUAUUAUAAUUUCCUAUACUUUAUCUAGUCAUUAAUGUCGGUAACUGCACUAACAGCUGCAGGUCAUUUUCACAGGUGUUUGAUUUCAAAGGACUAAGGAAACAUUGUUGUAUUUCCGAACUCCCAUUGAACUACACUUUUAUACGUUUAUCAGCACGUUGGAGGCCAUAGCAGCUGUCACAGGGUGAGAGGUGGGGUACAUUCUGGAAAAACUGUCAGAAGCUUUUAAGAUAACUGUAGAUUUUGGAAUCACCUGUAAUUGUUUCUAAUUGAUUGCACAUUAGAAGCAGGUGAGUGUUAACAUAAAUGUUCAUUUAUACAUUUUUUGUAAUAAAGUGGAAUAAAAACACAUACUGGAGUCUUGUGAGAUUCAGUUUUUCAUAUUGUGACUUGUGAGAUGCUGUUUGUGGAUAUAGCUGUCUCUGCCUCUCUGCUGAAAAGUGAAUAAUUGUGCAGGUAUUCCUUCAGUUGUUUGGAUGAAACCUCAGUGAAUCAUUUGAAAGGCGUGAUUAUUGAUGC